Molecule: ribosomal RNA, 229 nt
Filed under: uncultured bacterium
Lineage: Bacteria
Description: partial 16S ribosomal RNA
Rfam family: Bacterial small subunit ribosomal RNA
Source: RNAcentral
GCAAGUCGAACGGUAACAGGCCUUCGGGCGCUGACGAGUGGCGGACGGGUGAGUAACACGUAGGAAUCUACCCUCAAGUCUGGGACAACUUGGAGAAAUCCAAGCUAAUACCGGAUGUGCUCUACGGAGUAAAGAAUUUCGCUUGAGGAUGAGCCUGCGGCUGAUUAGCUAGUUGGUGGGGUAAAGGCCUACCAAGGCGACGAUCAGUAGCCGACUUGAGAGAGUGUAC